This is an RNA transcript of Labrus mixtus (cuckoo wrasse), 4728 nucleotides long. It is a transcript of the gene named nuclear GTPase SLIP-GC-like, with no coding region annotated. The transcript has 25 exons. Lineage: Eukaryota; Metazoa; Chordata; Actinopteri; Labriformes; Labridae. The record is from RefSeq and is a predicted model, not a curated record.
CACAGAGGGCUUGUGAACUUAAAGAACCUUGAAUGAAACAUCGCUUUCAUUUACAAGAAGAGCAACAUUGGUCAUGAUUUAAGUAUCAGGUCACGUAAUCUGUUAUGUAUUUGCAAAGACUGAGGUGAUGGAGGUUUAAUGACUGCUUGAGAUUGUUUGAUUUUUAUACUUAAUCAUCUGUGGAGCUUUUUGAACUUUUCCCAUUUUUGCUUUCAUCAUCGUCUACAGACUCCAAAGGAAUUUUGCUGUUUUCAGUCAUGGAUGAUUUUGUUAAAAGAAAAUUAACUGAAUGGCGUCUCAGCGAUUGGAUAGAAAAUUUUCAAGAUCAAGGUAUUGAUGAGGAAAGUUUUUACCUUCUUGAUAAAGAUGACAUCAAAGACUUGAUCACGAAAGUUGGACCAAGGGCAAAAUUCAAGAAGAGACUCAAGUCUCUUAAGGGGGAGAAAAAUGCAACAAAUCAGGAACAUGAAGAAACUGCUGAUUCUGCUCAGGUUUUGGCCAACAGUAACACAAGAGAUAAAGGAAAAAGAAAGUCUGAGCCUCAGGGGGAGUCCAGCGGAUGUCUAUCACCAACUAAGAAACGACGACGGGACUCCACAUAUUCAGAAAAAGUCAUGCUGUCUAAAGUGAGAAACAUCAUGGCAUGUGUUCAUGACAAAAUACUACACGGAGAAAAAACAAAGCUCAAUGCUUUUCUAGCGGAAAGAAUCUGUGAUUUGGACACAGAAAAAAGGGAGCUGGUUGGUGUCUUUGGAAGAACAGGGGCUGGAAAAAGCUCUCUAAUAAAUGCUGUCGUCGGAGAGAAGGAUCUCUUGCCCUCAGGAAGUCUCAGUGCUUGUACAACAGUCAUCAUUAAGGUGGAGGCUAACAAGCAGAACCAGAACUAUGAGGCAGAGAUUGAAUUCAUCACAAAAGAGGAAUUGAAGCAGGAGUUGUGGUACUUGUUAACAUUCAUCCUGAAUGAUGAAGACUGCAAAGAGGAAGAUGCCGAUGAUUACAAUGACGCUGUUGAAAUGCUGUCAGCGCUGUAUGGAGAAGAAUGGAGAAAAAACCCUUCUGUGGAACAUCUCAUGAGCGACAAACAUUUCAGAGAAAUCCCAGAAUUUAUUGUUUCUAGGAAGAAAACCUUGACCUGUGGAUCAGCUAAAGAGCUGUCUGCAGAACUUGUCAAAUACACAAGAAGCAGCUCAAAGUACGGAAUGGCUAAAGGCAUAAAGAAAUGGUUUUGGCCCGUGGUGAAGUGUGUGACAAUCAGGGUGCCAAAUAAUGACCUUCUUCAGAAUGUCACACUUGUGGAUCUACCUGGAAAUGGGGACCGCAACAAAGGAAGAGAUAAAAUGUGGAAAGGGGUGGUUCAAAGUUGUUCCACUGUGUGGAUCGUGACGGACAUUAACAGAGCAGUAUCAGAGAAAGAGCCAUGGGAGAUUCUGAAAAGUGCCAGCAGCCUUAUUGGAAAUGGUGGCCAAUGUCAGCACAUUCACUUCAUCUGCACCAAGUCUGAUGUUAUCGAAGAUUCUGAUGAUUCUUCAGUAGCUGGUGUUCGUGCUGCCAUAUUUAAGAGGAACAUCAGAGCCAAGGAGGAAGUGAGGAGAGAAUUCAGGAAACUAAAGGGGGUUCAAACACAUUUCAGUGAUGACUGUUUCAAAGUGUUCACAGUGAGCUCCAAAGAGUUCCUUAAGGAAAAAAGACUAGGACCAGAUGAAACUGAAGUCCCCAAACUUCAGGAAUUUCUGCAAGAACUGAAUGACUUUCACUCAGAGACACUGAAGUAUGUGUCAGGAGCGUAUGGGAUUCUUUCUCUUAUUCAAGGGGCCAGCUGUGGAGACGUGGCUGGUGUAAAAGCAAAUGUGUGCAAAGACCUUGAAGAAAACUUGAAACGUGAAAAAAGUAAAGUCUUUGAGCCCAUGAAAAAGUCCUAUAGGGCUUUUAACAAGUGCCUCAUGGAGGGUGUUGAAAAAUCCAAUAGUUCAAGGGAGAGUGUCUUGAAGUCCUUCUUAUAUCCCAAAAGAAUAAAAGGAAGUGCUUUAUACGGGAGAUUGAAGUGCAUAGUCGCAAACAAUGGCGUCUACAAACCAAAAAAAGGGAAACAACAAAACCUAAAUGAGCGAUUAGCUUCAAAGCUGAUGGAGAGCAUUGAUGAGGAAUUUAGAAAGACUUUCCCAAAUGAAUCAAAAUGUGAACCAUUCAACGGGGCCAUCAGUUCCUUUUCACUCGUCACAGGGACUCUGGUUGAAAAGUACAAAAAGUACAAAGGUGUGCAGCUGCAACUGGAAUUUCUCAGGACAGAGGAAGAAAAAAUUAAGGCAAAACUCGACAAAACCAUCCGGGAGCGAAAGAAAGAAAUCUACAGCAGCCUGACGACUUCAAUCGAGGAAAACAUGCAGAAGUGCUAUGAAGAUGCACAACAAUGUAAAGGCAAAGGCUCCUUGAAUGCCAUGAGGGACAUCAUUGAGCAGCAUGUUCGUGCCAAGGUCGACAUGUUCGAGGAGGCUAAAACUGUGAUGAUGUUAAAUGUGGCAGAACUAGUGGAGGUCAUCCAGAAGAUACUGAUGGAAACACUUCUGAGGUCAAUGAACCUAUCACUCAAUACAGAUGAUCAAUCAGUUCCAGAUGUCAAAGAGGAGCUUGAGACCGUGACAAAAAAAUACAAAGCACUGAAGAAAAACACACAUGAAGGAACAUCACCAGUCAGUGCUGAUCAACCCGGCCCGUCAUCUGCACAGGUUUACCUGAUGCAGAGAAACAGCUGAGGCCUGUUUAACCACUGAGGAUCCCACAGGGAACAUUGAAAAGUCAAAUGAGGCUUCUGGAUAUCAAUCAAUCAGUCUUUAUUCAUAUAGCAUCUUUCAUACAAAUUCAAAGUGCUUUACAGCGACUGAAAAACAAGAAUAAACAUAAAAUAGUGACAAAACAGGGUAGAAAUAAAAAUGGAUUUAGGAGUAGAGAAGUAGAGACUAAUGCACACCAAUAGGAAUAAAAAAAAGUUAAGUUAAAACUGAAAAGAUUAACAAAAAUAUAGUUGAGAUAAUAAGAGGGUAAAGAUUGCCUUAUAGACAAUUAAAAUAAUUUUAAAAUGAAUAUGAAACCUCACAGGCAGCCUGUGUAAAGAUUUUAAAAUUGGUGUAUUGUGUGCUCUCCUUCGGGUCUUUGUUAGCACUCGUGCUGCCGCGUUUUGAAUUAACUGCAGCUGAUUUACUUUAUUCUUUGGUAGACCAGAAAUGAGAGCAUUACUUCUAGUUAUGAAAUCAGUAUUGCUCAGAGAGAGAAACUGCCUCACUUUGGAAAUGUUCUUUAAAUGAUAAAAUGCUGUUUUUGUGAUGGAGUGUACAUGUGGCUUUAAAUUAAAAUCAGAAUCAAAUAAAACACCUAGAUUUCUUGCUGCUUGGCUUGGGUUAAGUGCAUUUACUGAAGAAGCCAGUUUGUCUCUCUGAGCCUUUGAACCAAUAAAAAGUGCUUCUGUUUUGUCCUGGUUGAGCUGUAAAAAGUUGUGAGACAUCCAAGCUUUAAUAUCUAAAAUACAGUUAAAAAGAGAGACAAUUGGCCCAGUGUCAUCAGGAGACAUGUCCACAUAGAGAUCAGCUGCCUCAGGGUAGCACAUACACAGUAAUUUACUAUGGCAUGUAUGUCUUCAGAUACAGAAUGAAAAAUAGUUUUAAAAAGGCAGGUGUGAAUGGGAUCAAGUGACCAUGUGGAGGGUGUCAGUUCUGUUACUAUAUUCCUCAGUGUGUUAGCAUCAACCAGGUCAGAACAGUCAUACCUACCAUCACAAUGUGCAUGUUUUUCUGGCAGAUACCAGAACAAAUAUUUAUUAUUUUCUCCCUGAAGUAGCCAGCAAACUUUUGACAUUUAGAACCUGGAAGCUGAGCACUGUGAUUAACUGUGGGAUUGAAAAGUGAAUCAAUGGUACUGAUUUAGUCUCAACCUUUUUGUCAGGUUGUUAUUUCUGCUCUCUUUGAGUGGUGUGUUUAGAUGUUUGUUGUGAGUUUCAUACAUACAGAUGUCAUAUUAGUGACAGUUUUCCUUUUGAUUAAUCGUGGGCCUCAGGCCAGAAAUGGGUGAAGGUGGGGUCGGGGGGGAUGUUGUGCUUUUCAUGUUAAUCGUUUCUUUUUUGGGCCUUUUCGCCUUUAUUAGAUAGGACAGCUGAAGAGAGACAGGAAACGGGAGGAGAGAUGGGGGGAUGACAUGCAGCAAAGGGCCAAGGUCGGAUUCAAACCCACAGCUGCUGCUUAGGAAUGUAGCCUCCGUACAUGGGGCAUGACAUAACCGUUAGGCAAUCCAGCACCCCUUUCAUGUUUCUACCAUUUUUUCAGCUAGACAUCAACUUCUUUAAUAAUUCAGGUUUUUUUAUUCUUGAAUAUGUGUUUUUUUGUGAGUGUUUUUAUUUUAUGAAUUUAGAAGUGGAUGAUUUGAUGUACUCCCUGCAGUUUCACUGAUUAUUACUAUGUCUUAUUAAAUCUUGAACCCUAAUCAAAGAAUUAAGAUUUUAGGCAUUUCAAGGGCUGAUCUUGUUCUUUUGUGAUGAUUAAGGACAAGACUGUUUUUACUGGGAUACAAAACUUAAAUCUGUGAUGAUAUAUUAAGGGCGAAAUAGAAGUAAAUUUUAUUAUCAGACCAACUUUUCUGGCUUCCUGAUAUGAACUGUACGAUGUUUUUAAAAAUGUUUUUAAGUCUUCACUGAUUAUAAAUUAAUUAUAGCACAUCAUGCAAUAAAACUCCAUAAAAUGUCAA